GUGGGGAAUAUUGCGCAAUGGGCGAAAGCCUGACGCAGCAACGCCGCGUGCGGGAUGACGGCCUUCGGGUUGUAAACCGCUUUCAGCAGGGACGAAGGGUUUCUGACGGUACCUGCAGAAGAAGCACCGGCUAACUACGUGCCAGCAGCCGCGGUGAUACGUAGGGUGCGAGCGUUGUCCGGAAUUAUUGGGCGUAAAGAGCUUGUAGGCGGUCCGUUGCGUCGGAAGUGAAAACUCGGGGCUUAACCCCGAGCCUGCUUUCGAUACGGGCGGACUUGAGGGAUGUAGGGGAGAACGGAAUUCCUGGUGGAGCGGUGGAAUGCGCAGAUAUCAGGAGGAACACCAGUGGCGAAGGCGGUUCUCUGGACAUUUCCUGACGCUGAGAAGCGAAAGCGUGGGGAGCAAACAGGCUUAGAUACCCGAGUAGUCC
Molecule: ribosomal RNA, 430 nt
Filed under: uncultured bacterium
Lineage: Bacteria
Description: partial 16S ribosomal RNA
Rfam family: Bacterial small subunit ribosomal RNA
Source: RNAcentral